Triticum aestivum (bread wheat) is the source of this 1191-nucleotide long non-coding RNA. RefSeq lists it as uncharacterized. The record is from RefSeq and is a predicted model, not a curated record. The transcript has 4 exons. Lineage: Eukaryota; Viridiplantae; Streptophyta; Magnoliopsida; Poales; Poaceae.
ACGGACGUUUGACGCCGGGGACGGAGCGAGGCAGAGCCGUGGCUCGACACGUUGCCGGCGUCCUGAUCCGUGGAUCAGAUCCGGCGCUCUCCGGUAAUGGCGGCACUGCCUGCAGUAAAUGCGUUGGGAGCAUCUUUCUCCUACCUUUAGCCCUAGGUUACCCGAUUGUUGAGAGCGGCGACCUGGUGGGGAAAACCUGCAGCGACUAGGCGACUGCGUGCUUGGGUAGGCAUGGAGUUCUUGAUGCAGCCCGUAAAUAGGCAGCAGGACUCUGCUAGAAGAGGUCAACGAGAACAAGAUGAACAUGGAGCCUCUUCAUUACCCUGUGAGUCUGUGACGACGACGCCGGUGGUGGAGUUGCCGGCCAGCACGGAAUCAAGCGCCAACGACCAGAUUUGCACUGAGGGCGCUGUUCCAAGGGCAGGCAGUGCAGACAACCUCAAGCUUCAGAGCACUCCAUCGAGCAGGUUGACCAAAAAACACCUGGGUGGACGCAAAGGGUCCGGGUUGGGGCAGCUGAGCUAGGUAGAGCCCCAUGUGCUGAUAGGAGGAUAUCAGGGCUGGAGAAAAUUGUUCAAAGGAGACAGAGUGCAUGGUGCCACAGCUAACAAAUGAUGACAGUUCAGCUAAUGAGUCAGGGAAUAGCCUAGUGGGAUUAUUGCCUCCAGCAAAGAGGAAGGAGAUGGGAAGGCCUACAAGCAGAGAGAAGGCGUUGUACGAGGGUUUGAGCAUAAGGACAAGAUUCAGCACCAUUUGUGGGCGUCAGGGGCAUAAGCAGGCAACCUGCCCAGAUCGCCGAGAUGUCCCAAAGCAAGUUCGGAGACCAGCACGCUGCAAGAAUUGUGGAGUUGAAGGUCACCGUCGCAAGUCGCAACAACUGCCACAAAGCAGCGGAACUUAUUAGACUCAAUAAAGCAUGAUGAGCAGACAAAGUAGUCAGUGAAACUGUUUAAGAUAAUUCCAACGCUCUAUGUUUGAACAAUUUUUCAGUUGUGUUGUACUAGUAUUUUAAUUAGUUGGUUGGUGUGUAAAGUAUGAGGUAAAAAACUUAGUUCAAUUAAGUCAUUUCAUCAUGAGCCUGUACUGAUGGUGUUUUAGGGCUACUUCUGAUCUCAGGCGUUUGAGUCGUUGUAUAGAGAAACACUUACCUGUGUUGCCUGAUCUGGUACUUAAAGACAACAUAAUAAUUCA